RNAcentral lists this ribosomal RNA (497 nucleotides) under uncultured bacterium. RNAcentral describes it as "partial 16S ribosomal RNA". It matches the Rfam family "Bacterial small subunit ribosomal RNA", at positions 28 to 507 of the family's 1533-position model. The record is from RNAcentral.
GAUGAACGCUGGCGGCGUGCCUAAUACAUGCAAGUCGAGCGAACGGACGAGAAGCUUGCUCUUCUGAUGUUAGCGGCGGACGGGUGAGUAACACGUGGAUAACCUACCUAUAAGACUGGGAUAACUUCGGGAAACCGGAGCUAAUACCGGAUAAUAUUUUGAACCGCAUGGUUCAAAAGUGAAAGACGGUUUUGCUGUCACUUAUAGAUGGAUCCGCGCUGCAUUAGCUAGUUGGUAAGGUAACGGCUUACCAAGGCAACGAUGCAUAGCCGACCUGAGAGGGUGAUCGGCCACACUGGAACUGAGACACGGUCCAGACUCCUACGGGAGGCAGCAGUAGGGAAUCUUCCGCAAUGGGCGAAAGCCUGACGGAGCAACGCCGCGUGAGUGAUGAAGGUCUUCGGAUCGUAAAACUCUGUUAUUAGGGAAGAACAUAUGUGUAAGUAACUAUGCACAUCUUGACGGUACCUAAUCAGAAAGCCACGGCUAACUACGUG